GACGAACGCUGGCGGCGUGCUUAACACAUGCAAGUCGAACGAUGAAGCCGGAGCUUGCUCCGGUGGAUUAGUGGCGAACGGGUGAGUAACACGUGAGCAAUCUGCCCUUGACUCUGGGAUAACUGCGGGAAACUGUAGCUAAUACCGGAUACGACACCUUGGGGCAUCCCAGGGUGUGGAAAGAAUUUCGGUCAAGGAUGAGCUCGCGGCCUAUCAGCUAGUUGGUGAGGUAAUGGCUCACCAAGGCGACGACGGGUAGCCGGCCUGAGAGGGUGAUCGUCCACACUGGAACUGGGACACGGUCAAGACUCAUACGGGAGGCAGCAGUAGGGAAUAUUGCACAAUGGGCGAAAGCCUGAUGCAGCAACGCCGCGUGAGGGAUGAAGGCCUUCGGGUUGUAAAACUCUUUUAGCAGGGAAGAAGCGAAAGUGACGGUACCUGCAGAAAAAGCACCGGCUAACUACGUGCCAGCCGCCGCAGUAA
Molecule: ribosomal RNA, 483 nt
Filed under: uncultured bacterium
Lineage: Bacteria
Description: partial 16S ribosomal RNA
Rfam family: Bacterial small subunit ribosomal RNA
Source: RNAcentral